GACGAACGCUGGCGGCGUGCUUAACACAUGCAAGUCGAACGGAAAGGCCCUGCUUUUGUGGGGUGCUCGAGUGGCGAACGGGUGAGUAACACGUGAGUAACCUGCCCUUGACUUUGGGAUAACUUCAGGAAACUGGGGCUAAUACCGGAUAGGAGCUCCUGCUGCAUGGUGGGGGUUGGAAAGUUUCGGCGGUCGGGGAUGGACGCGCGGCUUAUCAGCUUGUUGGUGGGGUAGUGGCUUACCAAGGCUUUGACGGGUAGCCGGCCUGAGAGGGUGACCGGCCACAUUGGGACUAAGAUAGGGCCCAGACUCCUACGGGAGGCAGCAGUGGGGAAUAUUGCACAAUGGGCGGAAGCCUGAUGCAGCAACGCCGCGUGCGGGAUGACGGCCUUCAGGUUGUAAACCGCUUUCGCCUGUGACGAAGCGUGAGUGACGGUAAUGGGUAAAGAAGCACCGGCUAACUACGUG
Molecule: ribosomal RNA, 468 nt
Filed under: uncultured bacterium
Lineage: Bacteria
Description: partial 16S ribosomal RNA
Rfam family: Bacterial small subunit ribosomal RNA
Source: RNAcentral